This 425-nucleotide ribosomal RNA is filed under the name uncultured bacterium. Its description in RNAcentral is "bacterial SSU rRNA". It matches the Rfam family "Bacterial small subunit ribosomal RNA", at positions 354 to 796 of the family's 1533-position model. The record is from RNAcentral.
GUGGGGAAUCUUGCACAAUGGGGGCAACCCUGAUGCAGCGACGCCGCGUGAGCGAUGAAGCCCUUCGGGGUGUAAAGCUCUUUCGGCAGGGACGAUAAUGACGGUACCUGCGGAAGAAGCUGCGGCUAACUACGUGCCAGCAGCCGCGGUAAUACGUAGGCAGCGAGCGUUGUUCGGAGUUACUGGGCGUAAAGAGUAUGUAGGCGGCCGUCCAAGUCUGGUGUGAAAUCUCCCGGCUCAACUGGGAGGGUGCGCCGGAAACUGGGCGGCUGGAGUGUGGGAGAGGGAAGCGGAAUUCCUGGUGUAGCGGUGAAAUGCGUAGAUAUCAGGAGGAACACCGGCGGUGUAGACGGCUUCCUGGACCACGACUGACGCUGAGAUACGAAAGCGUGGGGAGCAAACAGGAUUAGAAACCCCAGUAGUCC